AGCCGCUAGCAUCAAAACGAGUU
This 23-nucleotide non-coding RNA is filed under the name Arabidopsis thaliana (thale cress). The record is from RNAcentral. Lineage: Eukaryota; Viridiplantae; Streptophyta; Magnoliopsida; Brassicales; Brassicaceae.